RNAcentral lists this ribosomal RNA (492 nucleotides) under uncultured bacterium. RNAcentral's name for it is "partial 16S ribosomal RNA". It matches the Rfam family "Bacterial small subunit ribosomal RNA", at positions 29 to 507 of the family's 1533-position model. The record is from RNAcentral.
AGUGAACGCUGGCGGUAGGCCUAACACAUGCAAGUCGAACGGCAGCACAGUAAGAGCUUGCUCUUACGGGUGGCGAGUGGCGGACGGGUGAGGAAUACAUCGGAAUCUACUUUUUCGUGGGGGAUAACGUAGGGAAACUUACGCUAAUACCGCAUACGACCUACGGGUGAAAGACGGGGAUCUUCGGACCUUGCGCGAUUGAAUGAGCCGAUGUCGGAUUAGCUAGUUGGCGGGGUAAAGGCCCACCAAGGCGACGAUCCGUAGCUGGUCUGAGAGGAUGAUCAGCCACACUGGAACUGAGACACGGUCCAGACUCCUACGGGAGGCAGCAGUGGGGAAUAUUGGACAAUGGGCGCAAGCCUGAUCCAGCCAUACCGCGUAGGUGAAGAAGGCCUUCGGGUUGUAAAGCCCUUUUGUUGGGAAAGAAAAGCAGCAGGUUAAUACCCCGCUGUUCUGACGGUACCCAAAGAAUAAGCACCGGCUAACUUCGUG